GGCGACGUUACUGGGGCUGCACGGUGCUUGUAGCUGGGCAGUCUUAUCAUCAGAGUGGAGCCUGGUAACCACGACCUCCCCGCCAGGUCCUGUGUGUUGCUAGCUGGAGAAGGGUAGUUGAAAACUCAGACCAAGCACAGUGUUUAUAUCGGUCAAAACUGGAAAACUAUGUCCGGGCGCAGCCGAGGCUGGAGGAUCCCUUCAGGCCAAGAGCAACCUAGCAAUAUGGCGCGACCGGAUCUCUGUAGUCCUACCUCAACCCCCAGCUACUUGAACCCCAAGGUUGAAGGCUCCAGUGAGCUAUGAUCCCACCACAGCAUUGCAGCCUGCCAGACUGAGGUAAACCCUGUCUAAAAUAAUAAUAAUAAAAAAAAACUAUCCAAGUGUGCAAGGGGAGGGACUGCUUAAAAAAAACAUGAGGCUGGCUGGGCCCUGUAAUCCCAGCGUUUUGGGAGGCCGAGGGCUUGAGGAUCAGCCAGGUUUCAUGAGUUCAAUGCAGACCUGAAUCAUACCAAGCUGAGACUGGGGUACACACUCUCCUCUACUGAAAAGUAGUGAGGGAUUCCAACUUGGUGAGAGGGAGAGUGGGGGAGAGCCAGACCAGACAAGAGUGCUCACCUGGAAAAAGCCUGCCAUCAAAGGCCAUUUUCACACUUGUUGCUGGAGUUGCAAUCUCGGCUCACCACAACCUCUGCCUCCCGGAUUCAAGAGAUUCUCCUGCCUCAGCCUCCCAAGUAGCUGGGACUACAGGUGUGCAUCACCCUGCCCAGCUGGAGUUUUGCUCUUGUCGCCCAUGCUGGAGUGUGAUCCUGGCUCACUGCAAUCUCUGCCUCCCAAGUUCAAGCG
Molecule: long non-coding RNA, 846 nt
Filed under: Homo sapiens (human)
Lineage: Eukaryota; Metazoa; Chordata; Mammalia; Primates; Hominidae
Description: non-protein coding lnc-OR4C13-1:3
Source: RNAcentral